AUCCCUUGCCACUUUAAGGCACUAUCAAUGGAGGUCUAUGAUGGCACCACCGACCCCUAUAACCACUUGGAGAGCUUCAAGGCCCUCGUGAUAUUAUAAGGGGCCUCGAAUACUUUGCUAUGCAAAUCCAUCCCUACCACUCUUCAGAGUGCUGCUCGAGCCUGGUACAUCAGGUCCAGCCAAACUCCAUCCUCUCUUUUGAGGAGUUCGGUCACCAAUUCACUACUUAAUUUCAGAGUAGUGGGAAAGUAAGAAAGGGCACUGAUGCCCUCUUCUGCGUCAAGG
This 285-nucleotide long non-coding RNA is filed under the name Elaeis guineensis (African oil palm). Its description in RNAcentral is "long non-coding RNA (EGUI_LNC028804)". The record is from RNAcentral. Lineage: Eukaryota; Viridiplantae; Streptophyta; Magnoliopsida; Arecales; Arecaceae.